Molecule: long non-coding RNA, 2461 nt
Organism: Prionailurus viverrinus (fishing cat)
Lineage: Eukaryota; Metazoa; Chordata; Mammalia; Carnivora; Felidae
Exons: 3
Source: RefSeq, a predicted model, not a curated record
CCUUAAAUUUUGUGCUGUUUCUCCUGCUAGUCCCGCCCCAGUCCCAGCCUGAGUCCUGACCACCGUGGGUGCAACUUCUGAAUUACCUGGCUCCUCCACAGCUUUUGGGGUUGCCCGCCCAUGUAGAAGCCCACCUCCCACGAGCAAGGUGAAUCUCCUCUCACUUGAAGAUCAGAAAUUGAGAUCUUUCCUGUUCAAUUAAGGAUACGUUUCCAGAACACAGUCCAAAUCAUUGGAUCACACACCUGUUGGACUUUUGGGAUGUAUGUCCUGAGCUCCUUGGUAAGAACCUAGAAUCCUGUGGGAAUGGCACAGGUACCCUCAACCACUGCCUCUUAAACAGAUCCAGUUGCUGUGCUUUGCGGUUCUUGGUCUGCCCUUCAAAGUUUCUUUGCCUCCUCCCUUAUUGCCACCUACUGCUGUCAGGGUGCCCAUCUCCAGCAGCUACUCUAAAAAUUGCUUACAAUCGGAUUACAUUUAGAAACAUAACCCAAGGUAUUAGAACUGUGCAGAAAAUAAGGAUAAAUGGUGUCUGAGUGCUCUCGACACAUGAUAUGUGCUUCUCCAAAGCUUCUCCAGGCUUUUGCUUUUUCACCUGAUUUCUGAUUCUGUGCUUUGUUUUGCAUGAGUGAGGUUGCCAAAUAUCGAAUUCUGGAUGAAUGAGUUAUCACUGUAACAAUAAGGAAAUUGAUAAUAGAAAAAUUGCAGGUUUUAAGAAUUAUUGCCAUUAUUACUAUUUUAGUCAUCACUAUUAGGACAGGAAAAUUGACAGUGAAUUUCUGAGGCCAUUCUGAGAACAAGACCAGCUCUUCACUUCCUAUUAUAAAUCAGGGGAAGCCAUUUCAUGGUAACAGUAGUGCCUUCUCUUUCUAGAGGCUGCUCUCAAGACAGCUUCUAUUGAAGACAGCGCUUUGCUCUUGACCCCUAAUUGCACUUUCCAGACAUGGGGAUACACUGUAGCCAGCAAUGUGAAGAUGGGGUAGUGAGUUAUCCAGCCCUCAGAUUUGUGUCUACCCCAAACCAGGGCACAGACCAUGGCUACCUCUUCCUUCCCUCUCUCCCUCUUACCCCUCCAGGUGUCUCAUGAUUGCUUAGGAAGGAAGAAGGUGAGCCUCAGGUGUCCGCCCAGUCAGGUAGACCUAAGGGCUGAGCAAGACAACUGUCCUCCAAGAAUGGUCUUCCCCACUUCCCUCUCUAGCAGGAUCCUGCUUCUCUCUCAGACCCACCUCUGUGGCCCCUCUUCUGAAGCUCUCUCCAGCUACCCCCCAGAGUUGGGGCUCAGCCUUGUAUGUCACUGCAUCUUGGUAGAACUAAUAAUAGUAAUAGCUGCCAUAUUUGGGCCACUGUGCUAAGUCAUCCAUUAAUGCCAACAGCCCAAAGAAGUAGAUACUGUUAUUUGCAUUUGCAGAUGAUGAAAUGGAAGUAACUUGCCAAGCUUGUACAGAGCUGACUCCAAAUUUUGGGCUCUUAACUCAAAAGGUUUACUGAAUAUCAUAUACUAUGGAGACAAUCUCUCAAGAUGCAGACCAGAGGCCUGGGGCUCCAAUGACUUCUGAGUGAAACUCAUGAGUCAUUUGUGGCUCUUGGAAGUGGAGUCAGCUAGGAAGUCUGUCACCUAUGAUGCCAAGGUCUCUGGGAAGUAGGCCUGCUGGGAAAACAGUCCACAUUGUGUCUCAUGACCAGGAACAGCUUGAGAGACUGCCACACUUGUGAGUAAGAAACCCACGGAGGCAGACCUACUGUAGGCUCUGGAAUGAUCCAGUCCCCUCCUUAUGUAUCUUUUGUAGAGCAGACUCCCUGGGGAGCCCAUUUGUUUUAUCUGCCAAGUCCUUGUCUUAGCCCUUGAAUCAAGGUAGCAAUCAGGGUUGCAUGUCCCUCUGUCCUAAGGGCGGCACACUUGUAUCUUGUAGCUCUGUGUCGUCUUCUCCUUCUGCCUUAGAAGCAACACCAGGAGAUCCUUUCCUCCUGGGGUCCUGAGUCAGGACUAGAUUCCAGGAUUGUGGACCUCUUCCCUGUCCCCAGCCCUGGGUCUCACAGGUGGGGCAAGUUUGAGAUCUCUGUGGUGGGUUUUCAUUCUGUGACUUUACUCACCAGGUCGAGCCCUGCAAGUGGUGACUGUCAGUGAGAUCAUCUGGAAGGCCUGAAGGCUGGACCCAUGGCCUGUCUGCUACCCAUGCACUUAUGCAUGUGCAGGCACACACACACACACACACACACACACACACACACACACACACACGUGCACUCAUGUGUGCCAAACUCCCAUUGAUUCUCUAACUGCCAGUUUGUCCCAAUCAGUGUCUUGGUCCAGGAGUGAGAUGACAAGUAAAAUAAACAUACCUCCUCUUUACAAGUGGCUCCUUUCUCUAAGUUCCUGUUGUCCAAUAGAACUUUCUUUGCUGAUGGAAAUGUUCUAUAUCUGCUCUGUCCGACACCACGAAAGGCUAUUGAGCCACUUAAA